RNAcentral lists this ribosomal RNA (119 nucleotides) under Pogona vitticeps (central bearded dragon). Lineage: Eukaryota; Metazoa; Chordata; Lepidosauria; Squamata; Agamidae. The record is from RNAcentral.
AACUAGUACCAUACCAUCCUGAACAUAUUGGCUCUCAUCUGAGUUCAGAUGCCAAGUAGGGAUUACCUGGGUAGCACCUGGAUGGGAGACCACCAGGGAAUACCAAGGAUCAUCAGGUA